Molecule: small RNA, 124 nt
Filed under: Marmota monax (woodchuck)
Lineage: Eukaryota; Metazoa; Chordata; Mammalia; Rodentia; Sciuridae
Source: RNAcentral
GCUGGGUGUGGUGGUGCACUUCUGUAAUCUCACCAUCUUGGGAGGCUGAGACAGGAAGAUUAUGAGUUAAAGCCAGCCUCAGCAAAAGUGAGGCACUGAGCAACUCAGUGAGACCCUGUCUCUA